Molecule: long non-coding RNA, 4751 nt
Organism: Serinus canaria (Common canary)
Lineage: Eukaryota; Metazoa; Chordata; Aves; Passeriformes; Fringillidae
Exons: 2
Source: RefSeq, a predicted model, not a curated record
GCCCCCGCCAGCACCGGGAACGGCACCGGGUAACGGAGCGGUACCAGGCACUGGGCAACAGCACCAGGUCCCAAGGAAAACUCCGAGUUGGCUGGUGAGGAUGUUACCAGGAGAAAUUCUUCCUUUCCAGAGGAAAAAAACAGAAGAACAGUGACUGCAGCAGUGACUGAUGGAGAGGCUGCCCCUGGAUCUGCCCUGGAACUGCCCCAGCUCCACCCCAGCGAUGCCUUGAAGCGAUCUUAGCUCUGCCCUGGCUCUCUUUGUGCCUCAGAAAGUCUCAGAAGCCUCUGGGAAGGUGAGCAUUAUCCAAGCUGAGCAGCAGCCGGACGCAUGGCCACCUCACAUGAGCUCAGCAGGAUGCCGAAUGACGCCGCGCAUUCCGGGGACAGAGGGAGUCUGGAGCUUCCUAAUGGAUUUCCGAGAAAAUUGCCUCUGUGUUUGGAGCAGGAGAGCAAAGAGUGCAGGCGGAACGGCCUUUCUCUCUAAGUGGCAUCUCAAGGGUCUUAAUUAUUUCUCAGGAGUGGAAACAUUUAUUUAGGCGGCUCUGGAGAGGUCCUGACGCUUUUGGCUACUGCUCUCCGGGCACAUCCUGUAUGCGAGGCUCCUCUGCAAUGCUCCCUGCUGCUGCCGGGAUGUGCUGAGUGCUUGGGCAAAGCACAAACACCCAACCACGUCACCUGCGGGCAGGACAUGGCCUCAGCUCCAUCCUCUCCUUCUUACCGGGAAGCAGGAUCUCAUGGGGGAGCCCAGCCCCAUCCCAUCCCUGCUCUGCAUCCCUCACACUCCCAGGUCUCAAAACCCCGUCGUGAUAAUCCAGCCCAGUUAAUGUGAAACAGAUGAAUCCCCACAUUAGUCACAGAUUCUCAUGUUCCCACAAAGGUCCCACUGGAGAGCCAGUGUGGACGGGCCCUGCGGGGUUCCAGCCCUGCUGCUUCUGCAAGAGGCAGCCUGGGAAGAGUGAGGGGGACAGGGCAGCACUACAAACCCUGCCAGAACCCGGCCACCCAUGGGCAGCACACAACUUGGAGCUGUGGGCAGGGCAAAGUGGGGGCACCAGAGAUGUUUGUCAUUGGCACAGGCUCAGCCUGGUUGUGCCUAGUGCCAGGAGGAGGGGAUGAUCUGCUCCAGCAAAAAAAUGGAAAUGACAUUUUGUCCAAGGGGGAAUUUCCACAGGAAACCUCUGCUUUCAGCCACUCGGAUAUGGCUGGGAACAACCCAGCAAACACUUGGCCUCAGCAGCCAAGCAGUGCCAUUGCUUGGGCAAAGACUCCAUAGUUCCUCCAGCUAGGAAAGAACAUCCAGUUUCUGCUGCUGAAACAACCAGGAGAGUGAGAGCCCUACUGGGUCUGCAGAGGUCACCAGAACCCCCCAUCAGCUCAGUGAGUAUCUCUGCACCUGAGGGGACCCUGCAGCACCCACAGCCCAGCUGAGAACAAGGGCACAAUCAUCUCAUGCCUACCCCAGUGCCAGGGCUGGCUGGGGGCAUCAGGAGCACAUGCACCAGGGCUGCACUUGGCCCCCACCCCAUGCUGGUGCAUCCCAACAUCCCUGCACAUCCCCAUGCAUCCCUGCCCUCUCCCUGCAUCCCUGCUCUCCCUUACAGAGCUCAGGUUGCCACAGUAACCACUCAGUCCCAGCUGCUCCAGCCACCAACGUGCUGCCACAGGUCAGCCCAGUCCAGCAGCUGCACCAGGGACAGGGCCCUUCACCCCAUGUCAGGAUGAGCAGAGCCCUUGGUGCUGGUGCCACCACAGCCAGAUGCUACAUUGUGAGCCAGGAUGGGACACCUAUAGGGAAACAGGCAGGUUGUGUCCUCCUGGAAUGGCUGGGAGGUGGUGUUUUUGGAGAUCACACUGGGCUGGAGCUCUGGGUCUGACCUCUGCCACAUGUGGCAGUGGAAGCCACCACUGCUUGGCUCUUCUCUGCUGUAUAUUUAUCUGAGUGUGAUGCAAUAUUUAUUUGACUGUUGUGUUCUGAGCACUGGAAGCAGGGAUUGGGAUGGCUCUUGGCUUGGCCAGCAGUGGCAUGUGCUCUGCAGCUCAGCAUGUGUUGCUCUGGGAAGAUCCUACCCAGAACCUGGGAGGGCAGAGGAGACCCUCAGGCCAGGUGGCAGCUGAGUCCUGGGGAAUCUCUGCCUCCCACCCCUCACUGCAGCCCUGUUAAUUCAGCUGCUUGGCCCUGGAGCUGCAGAUAAACUGUGUCCUCUCUAAUCCCUGUCUGCUGCCUUAUUCCCAAGGACUGUCAAUAUUGCACAGCUCAGACACCCCAGGUACCAGUGGGACCCUGCACGAGCCCCUGCUCAGGACUGCCCCUGGUCCAGGGCUGCCCUGGCAGGUGGCUGCCCAUCCCCACAGGGCUGCCCUGUGCCUGUCACGCAUCCCAAGAGGAUUAUCUGCAUUUGGAAACCCCUAAUCCGUUUGCACGCUUGGCUCAGACACCGUCCCCACUCCUCCCCACUGUGCUGUGGCCCUGGGCAAGGAGCAAAGCCUGUGACCUCCUUUUGGAGCCACAAACAACCUCCUGCCCCAGCACAGGCAGAAAGCAAGGGCUGCAGGGCUGACUGGGGCAGAAGGAGGGAGACAGGAUGUUGGCAAGCAUCCCUUGCCCCAGUUGCUGCUGAUGCUGCAGGGGUUUCUCCAGCCCAGCACAGGGACCUACCCUGGGCACUUUCUCCUGCUGCCCAUCAGGCUCCAGGAGCUCUCAGCCUGCUGGUCCCCAGAGCAUUGACAGCAGGAGCUCCAAGGUGGAAGCAGUGGCCCCUUGACCCCAUCACUCAGGGCUGGGGCAGGUGCCAACAGGGGCACAGUGGGCCCAGGGAGGUAAGGAACCCCUGAUCUGCAGGAAUAGGGCAUCAAACACCAUGUUCCUGACACCACAUGGUUGUGGCAACGCCAAGGGUUUCAGAUGUGUAAAAAAAUUCCUUAGUCCUGGGUUCUAAACCCCAUCCUGCAGCAGUCAGAGGGGAGCUGGUUCUCCCGGGCAGGAGAAGGAGGUCCCUGCUGAUGGGCUGGGCCUCAUUCCUUUGUGAGCUGCCCUCCACCUGCAGCACCCUGGGCUGCACCACUGAGACAGGCUGUGAUCCAACACAGCUGCCUUGAAAGCAGGAAUGAGUUUGUGGGGCCUGGGCAGAGCCCUGGUUUGGUUUGACAGUGAAAUGCAGGGGAGCAGGUUCCCGAAGCAGGGACAUGGUCAGCUCAGCCCGGAGCAGGAUGCUGCCAGGCACACAGAGGGCAGAGAAGGCUCCAGUGCACCUCCAGCGCCUCAAAUGAUGCAGCACAGCCAGUUCCACAUGACCUGCAUGAACAAUCCUCUUAAUCCUGCUCUGACAGAGAAAUAAUCUCUCCCUCUUGCCCUCAUCAGAGCACAAACCCUGGAAUGAUCCUGUUCAUGGUUCCUCUCAUCACAUCCACGUGGUAUUGCAGAUGGCUAGGAUGCAAGUGCUGGGAUGGGAUCCACCAGGGCUGCGUGUGCAAAGCGUGUCACUGUCACCAGCCAGCGCUCCCAGCCUCACACACCGAUCCAGCCGUGCCCUGCACUACCUGGCACCCACUGCCCCCAGCCCCAGCUUCAGCCCAUCGCCCCCCAGGGCAGAAGCACUGGCAGGGGCCCCUCUGCAGCCCCAGCCAGCCCGGGCUGAGAGCAGCCAGAGCGGGGCCCCAGCGCAGCCAUGUCCUCCCACGCUGGCACCGGCAUUUCCUUUACACAACUGGAGGAGACCCGGGCACGUCUCUGGGGCAGAGAAAGCAGCCACGGGCUGGGGCAGGGCCACUGCCCCCUGCCUGCCCUGGGAAGGGCCCCGCAGCCCCGGGAAGGGGCAGCUGCCCACGCCUGCCGGGCAGGCGCCGGGGCCGCUCGCGCCGAGCAAACCGCAGCGGCGGCACCGGGGCCGAAUUGCGCUGAAGGAGGCCCCAGUUCCCGGAGCAGGGUCAGGUGGGUGCCGCAGGCAGAGCCAAGCUCACACCCCAGAGCACGUCGCUUCAGGGCCUUUAUUUUGGAGAAAGUUAAAGCCUGUAGAUACAGCAAUAAAAUAUACAAAAAAAUAAAAUUUUUUUACAGUAUUGAAUGUUGCCAGGGACUGCGGCCGGAGGCAGUGAGCGAGCAGAGGGGCCAAGGGCCCUCAUCGCCCCUGGGCAUCCCCAGGGCCAGCCACGGACCCCCUACUGCUCCCACACAACUUGGAGGGGCUUUCCCAGACCCCACAGCCACGAGGAUCCUCCCCCUUGCCCUCUGGUUCCCUGCCCAGCAGCUGUGAUGCAACUCAGAGGGAGCAGCUCUCCCACUGCCUCCCCCACCCCUCCACUGCUCAUCCGUGUCUGUUUGCCCACUGCAUGGAAAGGGCAGGAGGGUUCUCCCAAUUCUGUUAAAUGCAGGACCACAACCACCAACCCCCCCAAAAGUCAGGACAUCUGCCCUUCACAACACCCCUGACACUGUCCUGCACUGCCCCACAACAGGUUCCUCUCCUCACAUCCACCUGCUCCCUUCAACUCUUGACCCUUCCCACCUUAACUUUGAGGGCCAACCUCCAACAGAAAUGCCACAUGAAGCUGCAGACCCCAUGUCUGGCCCCUCACAACCCAGAGAGAAAGGGACAGGCCAGGUGCCCCACUGUCAGCCAUGCUGGCUCCCCCAAUUCCCCAGGGUCCAACUGGUCUAACUCAGCACAGUGCUGAAAUGAAGACCGUGCUCCCAGCACCAGCCUGGCCACAGCAAAGCCAGGACAGCCCCAUGGCUUCACUCAGCUCCCAAAA